GCCCUUAUAGCCUAAUGGAUAAGGCGUUGGACUUCUAAUCCAACGAUCUGGGUUCGAGUCCCAGUAGGGGCU
Molecule: non-coding RNA, 72 nt
Organism: Ditylenchus destructor
Lineage: Eukaryota; Metazoa; Nematoda; Chromadorea; Rhabditida; Anguinidae
Source: the annotation of a GenBank genome assembly